UUUUAUAUAGUUUAAUUAAAAACAUUAUAUUUUCAAUAUAAAAAAAGUAAACUUUACUUAUAAAAAC
RNAcentral lists this transfer RNA (67 nucleotides) under Cephus sareptanus. Its description in RNAcentral is "tRNA-Glu". The record is from RNAcentral. Lineage: Eukaryota; Metazoa; Arthropoda; Insecta; Hymenoptera; Cephidae.